GAUGAAGAACGUAGCGAAAUGCGAUAAGUAAUGUGAAUUGCAGAAUUCCGUGAAUCAUCGAAUCUUUGAACGCACAUUGCGCCCCCUGGUAUUCCGGGGGGGCAUGCCUGUCCGAGCGUCAUUGCAACCCUCAAGCGCGGCUUGUGUGUUGGGCUUCGUCCCCCCGUGGACGUGCCCGAAAGGCAGUGGCGGCGUCCCGAAUGGUGCCCGAGCGUAUGGGAACUCUCUUCCGCUCGAACCGGCCCAUUCGGCGCUGGUCGAACCCCAAUUUUUUUUUACCGGUUGACCUCGGAUCAGGUAGGGAUACCCGCUGAACUUAAGCAUAUCAAUAAGCGGAGGA
Molecule: unclassified non-coding RNA, 340 nt
Filed under: soil metagenome
Description: partial contains 5.8S ribosomal RNA, internal transcribed spacer 2, and large subunit ribosomal RNA
Rfam family: 5.8S ribosomal RNA (bases 1-121)
Source: RNAcentral